This 350-nucleotide ribosomal RNA is filed under the name uncultured bacterium. RNAcentral's name for it is "bacterial SSU rRNA". It matches the Rfam family "Bacterial small subunit ribosomal RNA", at positions 8 to 336 of the family's 1533-position model. The record is from RNAcentral.
AGCGUUUGAUCCUGGCUCAGAACGAACGCUGGCGGCGUGGAUAAGACAUGCAAGUUGAACGCUGAUUCUGGUGUAGCAAUACAUCAGGGUUGGAGUAGCGCAAGGGUGCGUAACACGUGGGUAAUUUGCCAUGAAGUUGGGGAUAACUCGCUGAAAGGCGAGCUAAUACCGGAUGUGGAGUUUGGGUGGCAUCAUCUGACCUCUAAANCUUGGGAUCGCGGGGCCCCCCNCUUNAUGAUAAGCCCGCGGGCAUAUAAGGUAGUGGGUGAGGUGGCGGAUCACCGAGGCUAGGAGAGUUAGGUGGCUCCGGCGGCAGGACGCGCGUGUCGGGGGAGUAAUAGAGACGGGGG